This 614-nucleotide ribosomal RNA is filed under the name Dianomictis expansa. RNAcentral describes it as "partial large subunit ribosomal RNA". It matches the Rfam family "Eukaryotic large subunit ribosomal RNA", at positions 2280 to 2761 of the family's 3401-position model. Lineage: Eukaryota; Metazoa; Arthropoda; Insecta; Hemiptera; Coreidae. The record is from RNAcentral.
UAGCCAAAUGCCUCGUCAUCUAAUUAGUGACGCGCAUGAAUGGAUUAACGAGAUUCCCUCUGUCCCUACCUACUUUCUAGCGAAACCACGGCCAAGGGAACGGGCUUGGAAGAAUCAGCGGGGAAAGAAGACCCUGUUGAGCUUGACUCUAGUCUGGUACUGUAAGGAGACAUGAGAGGUGUAGCAUAAGUGGGAGGCGGCUCGCCGUCGACAGUGAAAUACCACUACUUUCAUAGUUUCCUUACUUACUCGGUGAGGCGGAAGGCGUCCGUCGGAGUGUUUGCACUCCGGCGCGACGGUAUUCUCGCACCAAACGCCAAGGGUUGUCGGCGGCCGGCCGGUCGUGGGGAGGCCCGCGGCGGUCCGCUUUGCGGCGGUCCUGCUGUGCGCGUCGUCUCCGCGCUCUCGGUCGCGCCGUCCGGCAACACACUCCCUAGCGUGAUCCGAUCCAAGGACACUACCAGGCGGGGAGUUUGACUGGGGCGGUACAUCUGUCAAAUAAUAACGCAGGUGUCCUAUGGUCAGCUCAGCGAGGACAGAAACCUCGCGUAGAGCAAAAGGGCAAAUGCUGGCUUGAUCCCGAUGCUCAGUGCGCAUAGGGACUGCGAAAGCAC